RNAcentral lists this ribosomal RNA (447 nucleotides) under uncultured bacterium. RNAcentral's name for it is "bacterial SSU rRNA". It matches the Rfam family "Bacterial small subunit ribosomal RNA", at positions 355 to 825 of the family's 1533-position model. The record is from RNAcentral.
UGGGGAAUAUUGGACAAUGGGCGCAAGCCUGAUCCAGCCAUGCCGCGUGAGUGAAGAAGGCCUUAGGGUUGUAAAACUCUUUCGCCGGGGAAGAUAAUGACGGUACCCGGAGAAGAAGCUCCGGCUAACUUCGUGCCAGCAGCCGCGGUAAUACGAAGGGAGCUAGCGUUGUUCGGAAUUACUGGGCGUAAAGCGCACGUAGGCGGUGUGUCAAGUCAGUUGUGAAAUCUCCGAGCUUAACUCGGAACGGUCAACUGAUACUGUCACACUAGAGUACAGAAGGGGCAAUCGGAAUUCUUGGUGUAGCGGUGAAAUGCGUAGAUAUCAAGAGGAACACCUGAGGCGAAGGCGGGUUGCUGGGCUGAUACUGACGCUGAGGCGCGAAAGCAUGGGGAUCAAACAGGAUUAGAUACCCAAGUAGUCCCUGAGCGGGCUGGCAAGGCGCAU